CCACNAUGUNNNANUCCNCCGGGCCUCANCCUNGGGNNNCUGCCNUCUUNAUNCNGGGCACNCNUCAGUUCUNGUNCNGGGGGGNANNNUUCCCNGNUGAAGCGGUGAAAUCGUACNAGAUCUCGNAGGAAUNCCCGGUGGCGAACGCGNCCCCCUGGACGAAGACUGACCGNUCAGGUGCGAAAAGCGUGGGGAGCNNAACAGGAUUAGAUACCCUGGUAGUCCACCGCCGUAAACGAUGUCGACUUGGACGUUGUGCCCCUUGAGGCGUGGCUUCCGGAGCUAACGCGUUAAGUCGACCGCCUGGGGAGUACGGCCGCAAGGUUAAAACUCAAAUGAAUUGACGGGGGCCCGCACAAGCGGUGGAGCAUGUGGUUUAAUUCGAUGCAACGCGAAGAACCUUACCUGGUCUUGACAUCCACGGAAGUUUUCAGAGAUGAGAAUGUGCCUUCGGGAACCGUGAGACAGGUGCUGCAUGGCUGUCGUCAGCUCGUGUUGUGAAAUGUUGGGUUAAGUCCCGCAACGAGCGCAACCCUUAUCCUUUGUUGCCAGCGGUCCGGCCGGGAACUCAAAGGAGACUGCCAGUGAUAAACUGGAGGAAGGUGGGGAUGACGUCAAGUCAUCAUGGCCCUUACGACCAGGGCUACACACGUGCUACAAUGGCGCAUACAAAGAGAAGCGACCUCGCGAGAGCAAGCGGACCUCAUAAAGUGCGUCGUAGUCCGGAUUGGAGUCUGCAACUCGACUCCAUGAAGUCGGAAUCGCUAGUAAUCGUGGAUCAGAAUGCCACGGUGAAUACGUUCCCGGGCCUUGUACACACCGCCCGUCACACCAUGGGAGUGGGUUGCAAAAGAAGUAGGUAGCUUAACCUUCGGGAGGGCGCUUACCACUUUGUGAUUCAUGACUGGGGUGAAGUCGUAACAAGGUAACCGUAGGGGAA
This 940-nucleotide ribosomal RNA is filed under the name uncultured Marinococcus sp. Its description in RNAcentral is "partial 16S ribosomal RNA". It matches the Rfam family "Bacterial small subunit ribosomal RNA", at positions 583 to 1510 of the family's 1533-position model. The record is from RNAcentral. Lineage: Bacteria; Bacillati; Bacillota; Bacilli; Caryophanales; Bacillaceae.